AAAGGCCAGAAGUGACUCCUGCCGUAGCUGCGGCAGGCCUGGAGGCCGUACUGGGACCUGGCCAAAGACCCAGAAGUCCAGCUUUGAAGAAAACCUGGAGAAAGAGAGAGUCACAAAUCAUCUCCAUACUGCAGGAGAUGCAGAAAUGGCAGAAGGCAUCCCUUGGCUGUGACAGUUUCUUGAUCUUCACUUGAUUUUCAUGGUCUUGACACUUUGAGGACUACUGCUCAGGUUUACAGAUGCCAUUUAUGUCCAGAGCUACUGAGGGUGCCAACAGAUGUCGUUUUGUAAGAAAAGCUCCCCAAAAUUCUGUGCAUCGGACUCAUUUAUGCAAUCUCUGCCUACAUUGGGACCCCACUGAAGCCACGACCCCUAAGGCAGGGCUGGACUGCCUUGCAGUGGGAAACAGCCCAAGUGUCCAUCACUAGAGGAAUGCCUGAGUAUACUGAGGCCAGCCUUACUAUAGAGUCCAAGCAGCAAGUGACAAGGAUGAGGUGGCUCUACAUGUGCACGUGUAGAACUGCCCCCAAGACCUUGUGAAAUGCAAAGAAUAUUGAGUAUCACUUUAGAAUAUAUUAAACAACCUAUCAAGAUUAAUGAGCUUAUUCAGAAAAGAAAAUAAGUCCUGAUCAAUUUCAGCGUGUUUGGACCAGCAGAUUCCAGGUGAUGGAUAGGCAGCUUCAUUUUAAUAGUCUGUUGGUACAGGGUGACCUGUAGCCUUUCCAGAAGAGGUAAAAUGAAUCCUCCGGUUGUCACCCCCUCCUUCCUCGCUCCAAUUCCAUCAUUAAUCCCCGUUUGAGGAUUUGAGUGCUGCCGAGGACUGACAGACUCCAUGAGGUUCAGCUGCUGCCUGGUACAUGUGGUCACCUGCAGCUUCUUCAGCCCUACAUAUAUUUUGUGCUGUUUUAGACUGCUCUUUCUUCCAUUAAAUGAGAGAUUAGAUCUGAAUGGCCACGUGAUCUUCUGAGUCCCAUCUGUAAGAAUCUGCAUUUCCACGGAAUUGGGGGAGCAAACGUUCUCAAAACAUUCUUAAAUGCAAACCCGCAGGCACAGCAUGUGUCUGUCAACUCCAAGAGCAUUUGGAUGUUCGAAGGGAGAGGAUGUUUGACAUCUAACCCGUCGUGGAAAGAGGAGCCUCUACAGUGACAUGAAGGCAAUGGAUUCUCAGCAUUACAAGGCAAGACAGAACUUGAAGGAAGAAGGCUGGGAGGAAACCAAUGUUGAAUGAACACUGACUCUGUGCUCAGCCCUGAGCAAGCAGUGGAAUGCCCCUGGGCUGUGAGCCACGAAUUCAAAUCCCAGCUUGUAGAGCUGUUCUGGGGGUUAGAAGUUUGGGGUCCCUCGUUGCUGCACUCGUUCCAGGUUUGGGGCUGGCGCUGCCCUUCUGACCCCUCCCUAAAGUGGACACAGGAGAAGGAGCGGGGAGAAGAGACAGGCGGCCAGGAGACACCCUGUUGAGGGCUCCCUCUGCUUGCAACAGGACCUGCUGAGGUUGCAGCUGAAGUGCUGGUCUUCCCAGAGAAAACAACCCCUCAUUCUCAAAGGAUGAGAGUGAGCCCUGCGGGGCUGCAUGCUCUUGGCCAUGGGAGAUCAACUGUGGUCACAUAGAGUGUAAUCAGUGUGUAUUUAUGGAUCACUCACUACAUGCAAGACCGGGACACAGCCGGGAUUUACUGUGGGGCUGAAAGCAAGUCACUUAAAAAGGUAAAAAUUCAUGUCCUUUUAAUCUACUUUUCAGCAAGGAACAUCACGUCUGAAUGCUCGCGGCCUCUGCCUGCCCCGUGGGAUGGUGCUGGAAAUUAUACUCAUAUUUAGAUAGCAUUCUCUGCAAGUGGCUGCUGUUGUCCUUCCAUCGUCAGCACAGGCAGAUGCUGGGAGUACCCACCUUGGGGUGAGGUGGCAAGAGAGGGCCAGCUUGUAUCCGCCUCGUUGUCGUCCUUCCUUCCUGACUUGACUCUCUCCUCUGUGGCCUUCUCAGGAGUGGGAUGUGGUUGUGAGGAGAAUGUGCACUUUACCCCUCACCAGUCCAGAGAGGGGCACAUAGCCCAAACCUCUCCCCUUCCCAGAAACCUGCAAGUCCCCCUGGGUGCGCCUGUGUGAUGAGGCAGGCUCCGAGAGCCACAGGCUGGUGGGCCACUAGGAAGCAGUAAAGGAAGACAUUUUAUGAUUGUAGCUGGAGAUAAUGAAUUGAAAAGCUGGUCUCUGUUUCUGGAAAUGAUGCCAGGAGGCCCUCAAAAUAAACGCCCACCUGUCCUUCAGGUCUCAACACCUG
RNAcentral lists this long non-coding RNA (2272 nucleotides) under Homo sapiens (human). RNAcentral describes it as "HSALNT0237100". The record is from RNAcentral. Lineage: Eukaryota; Metazoa; Chordata; Mammalia; Primates; Hominidae.